AUUAAACCGUCGAUAGAAAAAGUAAUCAGAACUCAAAUGGAAAGAGAGAGAAUGUCAUUGGCUGAAAGCAUUCUUGCAUAUUGGACUGAUGAAAGACAUUCUGGAGGAUUUAUAUCGAAAUCAAAGUAGAUAUAAACGUUUUGCAGGCGUUAACUGUGAAGAGCGGAUGCAAUUUGCAUCAACUAGGGUGGCAACGCGGGUUAACUCUCGUCCCUUAU
RNAcentral lists this non-coding RNA (218 nucleotides) under Virgibacillus sp. Its description in RNAcentral is "T-box sequence". It matches the Rfam family "T-box leader". From Rfam's summary of the family: Uncharged tRNA acts as the effector for transcription antitermination of genes in the T-box leader family. T-boxes are found upstream of many aminoacyl-tRNA synthetase genes and some amino acid biosynthetic genes usually in Gram-positive bacteria. Lineage: Bacteria; Bacillati; Bacillota; Bacilli; Caryophanales; Bacillaceae. The record is from RNAcentral.